Prolemur simus (greater bamboo lemur) is the source of this 214-nucleotide small nucleolar RNA. Its record names the gene U3. It matches the Rfam family "Small nucleolar RNA U3". Rfam says of the family: Small nucleolar RNAs (snoRNAs) are involved in the processing and modification of rRNA in the nucleolus. There are two main classes of snoRNAs: the box C/D class, and the box H/ACA class. NCBI's taxonomy places the organism in Eukaryota, Metazoa, Chordata, Mammalia, Primates, Lemuridae. The record is from Ensembl.
AAGUAUACUUUCAGGGAUCACUUGCACAGGUCAUUACUAGAGAAGUUUUUGUGCACUGUGCAGAGCACCAGGAACCGCAAGGAGGAGGCACAGCAUCUCUCCCGAGCUUGAAGCUGGCUCUUGGUGUCACUUCGCUGCAACUGCGAUUUGCCAUUGAUGCUCUUUCUUCUCUUCCUCGGGAAGAGUAAGAGAGAGAAGAUGCAGACUGAGUGAG